Molecule: ribosomal RNA, 397 nt
Filed under: uncultured bacterium
Lineage: Bacteria
Description: bacterial SSU rRNA
Rfam family: Bacterial small subunit ribosomal RNA
Source: RNAcentral
GAUGAACGCUGGCGGCGUGCUUAACACAUGCAAGUCGAACGAAGCAAUCAGACGAAAGUUUUCGGAUGGAAGACUGAUUGACUGAGUGGCGGACGGGUGAGUAACGCGUGGGUAACCUGCCUCAUACAGGGGAAUAACAGUUAGAAAUGACUGCUAAUACCGCAUAAGCGCACAGUAUCGCAUGAUACAGUGUGAAAAACUCCGGUGGUAUGAGAUGGACCCGCGUCUGAUUAGCUAGUUGGUAAGGUAACGGCUUACCAAGGCGACGAUCAGUAGCCGACCUGAGAGGGUGACCGGCCACAUUGGGACUGAGACACGGCCCAAACUCCUACGGGAGGCAGCAGUGGGGAAUAUUGCACAAUGGGGGAAACCCUGAUGCAGCGACGCCGCGUGAAGG